RNAcentral lists this ribosomal RNA (133 nucleotides) under uncultured bacterium. Its description in RNAcentral is "partial 16S ribosomal RNA". It matches the Rfam family "Bacterial small subunit ribosomal RNA", at positions 355 to 502 of the family's 1533-position model. The record is from RNAcentral.
UGGGGAAUUUUCCGCAAUGGGCGAAAGCCUGACGGAGCAAUCUCGCGUGAGGGAUGACGGCCUAUGGGUUGUAAACCUCUUUUUUCAGGGAGGAAUCAAUGACGUGUACCUGAAGAAUAAGCAUCGGCUAACU